This 1047-nucleotide unclassified non-coding RNA is filed under the name Hevea brasiliensis (rubber tree). The record is from RNAcentral. Lineage: Eukaryota; Viridiplantae; Streptophyta; Magnoliopsida; Malpighiales; Euphorbiaceae.
UUCCACCCGCCGACGGAAGUCAAAGGUCGUCGGCAUUUGAUCGCCGGACUUUGUGAACUAAUACAAGUAGUAGUUUUUUUCCCCCAGCGAUUCCAAUCAAAAUGAAGAGCAGAGGGAAAUCAGUCAUCGGAGGAUGGUGGAACCUAGGCUUACCUUCCGUAUUUCUAUUAUGUCUCUUCUUCUUCCUCCUCGGAUUAUUUGCUUCUGUUCUCUUCUCUCAGCAGGAUGUACCUAAUGUAAGGUCGAGGGUGCUUGAAUCUGUUGAUCUGGAGAAGGACUUUGAUCCCUUGCCUACCGGUGUGUCUGGAGAUGAUUCCUUCACUUCCAUCCCCUUUCAGGUUUUAAGCUGGUUCCCUCGUGCAUUAUACUUUCCCAAUUUUGCGUCUAUAGAACAAUGCCAGAGCAUAAUUAAGAUAGCAAAGACAAGUUUGGAACCAUCAUCAUUGGCUCUUCGCAAAGGAGAAACAGAAGAGACCACCAAAGGAAUUAGAACGAGUUCUGGCACGUUUAUAAGUGCAUCAGAAGACAAAACUGGAAUCUUGGAUCUUAUUGAGGAGAAAAUUGCAAGAGCGACAAUGAUCCCCAAGACACAUGGUGAGGCAUUUAAUGUUUUGCGGUAUGAAAUUGGGCAAAGAUAUCAGUCACAUUAUGAUGCUUUCGAUCCUGCUCAAUAUGGCCCUCAGAAGAGCCAAAGGGUUGCAUCCUUCUUAUUAUAUUUAUCUGAUGUUGAAGAAGGUGGGGAAACUGUGUUCCCUUUUGAGAGCGCGCAGAAUAUGGAUGGUACCUAUGAUUACAGCAAGUGUAUUGGUUUGAAAGUGAAGCCACGCAGAGGGGAUGGACUUCUAUUCUACUCACUGCUUCCAAAUGGUACAAUUGAUUUGACAUCACUUCACGGUAGUUGCCCAGUAAUAAGAGGAGAAAAAUGGGUGGCCACCAAGUGGAUCAGGAAUAUAGAACAGGACGAGUAAAUGCCUGUACAAUAAAGUGUUGUUCAUUAUGUAUUUCUAGUAAUUUAACCUGAGUGAAGAAAACAGUUUUCGAGUUGAU